UACACAAAUUGUUGAAUUCUGUACAGGAAGUAUGCACCUGCUGAACUUCAGGCUCAAGUGAUAGUGGAAGCACUUAGCACCUCUUGGUAUAUAUAAUUCCACACCAAAUUAAAUUCGAGGAUCGCUCUCUCAAUUUUCGCUGAUGACACUUGUUGGUCAUGCGUCAAACAUCUGCACGGCCUGUAGUAGAACUGACAAGGUGGUGGUGUCAUACAGAGAACUGCUAGUGAAGCAGUUCUAGUUACGUUAGUGGCAGCUCGUGACCGGAUGUUGAAAAAGGCGGGAAAAAAUUCUCGGGGGAAACUUGUUACGUUGUUUAUUCAACGUCAGAUGAUCUUUUUUACUAUAUUGCAAGUGAACUUGCAAAAUUUGUUACCCAAGAAGGUGAAGAAUUUCGACUUCCUUGUGGUAGAGAAAGGGAACUCGGUUUUACCUUUUCGUUCCCUGUAAUGCAAACAUCCAUUGACUCUGGAACUUUAAUCACAUGGGCAAAAGGCUUCUGUAUAGAUGAUACGGUAAAACUUAUUACCUUGGUGCUAAAAUUUAGAUAUUAGUUAAUUUUUAUGACCAUGGCUAUUCUGUUAUCUACAACCAGUGUGCUCUACUUUUGUUCUAUUACAGUAUAGCUUAGUGUUAGUGGUUCUAGAGAAAUGUUGCUGAAGUCAUAAUGGUUGAUAUGGCUUAU
Long non-coding RNA from Spinacia oleracea (spinach), 685 nucleotides. RefSeq lists it as uncharacterized. NCBI's taxonomy places the organism in Eukaryota, Viridiplantae, Streptophyta, Magnoliopsida, Caryophyllales, Amaranthaceae. The transcript is spliced from 3 exons. The record is from RefSeq and is a predicted model, not a curated record.